CGAUAUACUAGGAUAUGAUCUGAUAUUGUGGAAGUUUGAAGACCAUCUUUUGGCAAAAAUCAAUAGAACAGCCACUCAGUUUUCAUUAUAUGAUAAUGCUGGAGGAAGAUUCAACGGCAGACUGCAGCUGCAUCAUCAGACUGGGUCUCUCAUCAUCAGUGACACCAGAACCACAGACUCUGGAGUUUAUCAACUAAACAUGAACAGUAACUCACACUUUUUACAGAGGACAUACAGUGUUACUGUCAAGGGUCUGUCUUCAAUUGUUAUAGCAGUAAUAGCUGUCAGUCUUGCACUGGUGGUUGCCGUUGCCCUUGUGAUUUACUGUUGGUGCAGGUCAAGACAAAGGCGUGACAGAGUUGUGUAAUCUGGAGGCUCAGUGUGGUUUCAGUGAAGGUCAAUGAAAUCAACCUCAGGAUCAGCAUGAAUCCAUCCAUAACAGUACAUACAUAACCACAGUAACAAUAUAAACAUAGCUGUAUUAAUGAACAUGAGCUGUAUUUGCUAUAAACAGAUAAGCAAGGUUUGGUUGAUGUAUUAGUUUACAUUACACAUUGUAUUCUUAAUCUGUAU
Molecule: long non-coding RNA, 573 nt
Organism: Sinocyclocheilus anshuiensis
Lineage: Eukaryota; Metazoa; Chordata; Actinopteri; Cypriniformes; Cyprinidae
Exons: 4
Source: RefSeq, a predicted model, not a curated record